ACGUAGGGUGCAAGCGUUAAUCGGAAUUACUGGGCGUAAAGCGCACGCAGGCGGUUUGUUAAGUCAGAUGUGAAAUCCCCGGGCUCAACCUGGGAACUGCAUCUGAUACUGGCUAGCUUGAGUAUCGUAGAGGGGGGUAGAAUUCCAGGUGUAGCAGUGAAAUGCGUAGAGAUCCGGAGGAACACCGAUGGCGAAGGCGACCCACUGGGCCUAGACUGACGCUCAUGCGCGAAAGCGUGGGGAGCAAACAG
This 251-nucleotide ribosomal RNA is filed under the name uncultured prokaryote. Its description in RNAcentral is "partial 16S rRNA". It matches the Rfam family "Bacterial small subunit ribosomal RNA", at positions 525 to 775 of the family's 1533-position model. The record is from RNAcentral.